Molecule: small RNA, 28 nt
Filed under: Bombyx mori (domestic silkworm)
Lineage: Eukaryota; Metazoa; Arthropoda; Insecta; Lepidoptera; Bombycidae
Description: ovarian small RNA-10796
Source: RNAcentral
AAUCGGGUACGCCUGCGUGAUGAGGUCC